UCCAUAAUCAAGCUUUCAAUCUUCAAGUGACAUAGUUCUUUUUUGAGAAAUUUUCAACAUCUUCACAAAGGAUAACCGAAUUCAAAUCUGGAAUUGGAAUUGACUAUUUGGGCCCAAAGACUCGCCAAUCCUAUCAAGAGCUUUUAAACACUAAAGAACAAAAUAGAUUUAACAUAGAAUAAAAGAACGUUAGGUAAAGAAAAAUGGAGAAUGGUAUGUUAGUUGGACCAACUAAUAUUCUUUCUGAAAUUUGAAGUUUUUAGGGAGGAAGGGUAUGACAUAGCUUAGUAAAUCAAUCAACAAUACAAUGUGAUAGAAGAAAAUGCUAAAUGAGAAGAGGAACAAAUUGAUGCCUGUUUUACUAGAAAAAAAAGGGAUGAACAAAAUUUUGCAGACACAAGGAUCAAGUUAAUAUGUCACACUGUAGGACUAGGUAAAGAAAAAGGUUUUAAAUUGCAAUUGUAGUAAUGAACUCAUGAUAACAUAAUGGAGUUAUGAAUCCAGGGCUAUCAUGGUUGUGGUUACCAUCACAACUGAGACUUAAAUCCUUGGAAGAGAAUAUUUGAGAGAAAAUCAGGUCAAGAGGGUGUGCUUGAGAACCAUGUGCGAGAAAUCAAAUUCAAGUUCUGUUUCAAAUUAAAACAUGAUUGUGACUCUGUGUUAUUCUUUCAUCUGCGGGCUAUGGGAAGUGAGAAGAUAUGGACUAAGGUAACUUUAAUAAAUCUUUGAUAAUAACACAACCAUAGUUUUAACUUUGAUAAAUCUUUUACAAAUUAGCAGCAAUGGUAUGAUAAUAUAGAUAAUCAUUUUUAACAUUAUUGUCACAUUACUCAAACAGCAAGCAGUAUGGGUCAAAUAGCCAUUUUAAGUAAAGAUAAAUGAUCAGCUCUAACAUCUUCCACAAAAACUAAUGUUCUCAAAGCUUCAAAUUUGUACACCAGUUUUAUUUUUUUUAUUUAUGGUCUAAUGGUCUCUAUUUUAUGUCCAAUGUUGCAAGGACCUGAAAAAUAAAUAUUCCAAAACAAACAAUGUUAUAAAAAGAGAGAGAGGUCAUGCUUACAGAAGAACAAGAUUGGAUUUUCCUCCUCAAUAACUGCCGAAUAACACCUCCAGCCAUCUUAGUUCAGACUGCAAUCCAUUCACAUGAAGACUACAGAAAGUAGCUAAAUAUCUCCAACAAGUAUAAAAGAUCAAAUUCUACAAAUAUGCAUAAGGGUACUGACAAAGACAGCCUCACCAAAAAGUGCAAAUAAGAUAAGAGUAAAUGUUAUCAACUGUUUCUGCAAUGAAGAAUAAGAACCAACAUAAGCAGAAAAAAACAGCAACAUCAAAAACCCACAUCACCAAGCAACACAUUCAAAUGAAAUCUCAAUAGGGCAUAUGAUUGCUGAACAUGGGUCACAGAUCCUAGUUGCAGUGAUUGCUGAACAUUUAAAACUAAGAGCUUAC
This 1449-nucleotide long non-coding RNA is filed under the name Phaseolus vulgaris (common bean). Its description in RNAcentral is "long non-coding RNA (PVUL_LNC003171)". Lineage: Eukaryota; Viridiplantae; Streptophyta; Magnoliopsida; Fabales; Fabaceae. The record is from RNAcentral.